Molecule: ribosomal RNA, 479 nt
Filed under: uncultured bacterium
Lineage: Bacteria
Description: partial 16S ribosomal RNA
Rfam family: Bacterial small subunit ribosomal RNA
Source: RNAcentral
GAUGAACGCUAGCGGGAGGCCUAACACAUGCAAGCCGAGCGGUAGAGAUUCUUCGGAAUCUUGAGAGCGGCGUACGGGUGCGGAACACGUGUGCAACCUGCCUUUAUCAGGGGGAUAGCCUUUCGAAAGGAAGAUUAAUACCCCAUAAUAUAUUUGAUGGCAUCAUUAGAUAUUGAAAGCUUUUGCGGAUAGAGAUGGGCACGCGCAAGAUUAGAUAGUUGGUGAGGUAACGGCUCACCAAGUCGAUGAUCUUUAGGGGGCCUGAGAGGGUGAUCCCCCAGACUGGUACUGAGGCACGGACCAGACUCCUACGGGAGGCAGCAGUGAGGUAGAUUGGACAAUGGGUUAGCGCCUGAUCCAGCCAGCCCGCGUGAAGGACGACGGCCCUAUGGGUUGUAAACUUCUUUUGAACAGGGAUAAACCUACUCUCGUGAGAGUAGCUGAAGGUACUGUACGAAUAAGCACCGGCUAACUCCGUG